RNAcentral lists this ribosomal RNA (466 nucleotides) under uncultured bacterium. RNAcentral describes it as "bacterial SSU rRNA". It matches the Rfam family "Bacterial small subunit ribosomal RNA", at positions 330 to 794 of the family's 1533-position model. The record is from RNAcentral.
UCCAGACUCCUACGGGAGGCAGCAGUGAGGAAUAUUGGUCAAUGGUCGGGAGACUGAACCAGCCAAGCCGCGUGAGGGAGGAAGGUACAGAGUAUCGUAAACCUCUUUUGUCAGGGAACAAAGACUGGGACGCGUCCCCGGAUGAGUGUACCUGAAGAAAAAGCAUCGGCUAACUCCGUGCCAGCAGCCGCGGUAAUACGGAGGAUGCGAGCGUUAUCCGGAUUUAUUGGGUUUAAAGGGUGCGUAGGCGGUCUGUUAAGUCAGCGGUAAAAUGGCGGGGCUCAACCCCGUCGAGCCGUUGAAACUGGCAGUCUCGAGUUGGAGAGAAGUAUGCGGAAUGCGCGGUGUAGCGGUGAAAUGCAUAGAUAUCGCGCAGAACUCCGAUUGCGAAGGCAGCAUGCCGGCUCCACACUGACGCUGAGGCACGAAAGCGUGGGUAUCGAACAGGAUUAGAUACCCCAGUACA